UGUAGUUAGCUAUAUAUCAAAAAAUAUAGCAACUAAGGUGGAGCAAGUCAUUGUACUAAAGAUGUUUGUAAUACCUUGAUGUUCCCGCUGGGAGCAAUAACA
Molecule: small nuclear RNA, 102 nt
Filed under: Tetrahymena thermophila SB210
Lineage: Eukaryota; Ciliophora; Oligohymenophorea; Hymenostomatida; Tetrahymenidae
Description: Tetrahymena thermophila U1 spliceosomal RNA
Source: RNAcentral